GAUCAAUUUAGGCUCAAUUAAUACUCUGGUAUCUUGAUUUGAAUCAAUUACGAUAACCUUUACCUUCCUCUGCCUGUUCAGAUUCGCCAUCAGUAAAAAAUGAGAUCCAUUCAGCCAAUGUUUUGAUAUUAACGCUCAUUAUAUAGAAUUUAUUACCACCAAUAAUCUUUAACUCCGUCUUCAGGUUAUUGAAAGCUACUUGUCAUAUAGACAGCGACUAGUGCCCUAAGCUACAAGGUAAAUAGAGCCGUUCAGGGAUGGAUUACAGGCCCAAGAGAGGAUAUGGACUCUUGUUCUUUAAGGCAACCAAACCCCAUUUUUUCAAGAUAAUUCUUGAUGAUACCAUUUGUAGUAUGAAGCUUGUGUAGAGACAGCCCAAAUUUAACAUUGUGGUAUCA
RNAcentral lists this unclassified non-coding RNA (398 nucleotides) under Hevea brasiliensis (rubber tree). Lineage: Eukaryota; Viridiplantae; Streptophyta; Magnoliopsida; Malpighiales; Euphorbiaceae. The record is from RNAcentral.